UACGUAGGGUGCAAGCGUUAUCCGGAAUUACUGGGCGUAAAGAGCUCGUAGGUGGUUUGUCGCGUUGUUCGUGAAAACUCACAGCUUAACUGUGGGCGUGCGGGCGAUACGGGCAGACUGGAGUACUGCAGGGGAGACUGGAAUUCCUGGUGUAGCGGUGGAAUGCGCAGAUAUCAGGAGGAACACCGGUGGCGAAGGCGGGUCUCUGGGCAGUAACUGACGCUGAGGAGCGAAAGCGUGGGGAGCGAACAGG
RNAcentral lists this ribosomal RNA (253 nucleotides) under uncultured bacterium. RNAcentral describes it as "partial 16S ribosomal RNA". It matches the Rfam family "Bacterial small subunit ribosomal RNA", at positions 524 to 776 of the family's 1533-position model. The record is from RNAcentral.